UCCGUCCUAAUGGCUUUGUUGCGAAAUAAACAUUUAUAAAAUAUCAUGCAUCAAAGACCACAAGGAGAAAGCAGGUGCCUCAGUUGAUUUCGAAAUAUCACGUAGGAAAACCCACCACUAGAAAAUCUUCAGAUUCUGUACAGAUGGUCCCCAAAUAUGGACCAACUAUUAAUUACAGCACUAUUGGUUACUAUCAUAUCCAUAUGCGUGUUCCUGGUUAUCGGUCUAUUAUUGUGGUAUUGUUAUCGUCGAUGUACUCGUAGUUCACAAGACCCUCAUCGUCCACCAACUCGAAGAGCUUAUGAAUAUAUUUUUCAAUCAUUUCGAUCGCAAGAUAGGCAAUGGCCACGUUUAUUACCACCACCGGCACGGGAGCUAAGGGAACCUUUAAGAGGAGAUUAUGAAUAUCCUAAUUAUGCAAAUGAACAGGAACACAGGCACGUUGAGCCUGUGAAUCACAGUCCGCCGUCAUGGCAAAGCGGACCUUCAAGAAUUCAUUACGCAAAUGAACCGGAAAGCCCGCCUGUUACACCUGUAAAUCGUAGUCCCCCAUCGCAGCAAAGCGGAUUUUCAAGAGGGAAUUAUGAGGAUGAUACUUUUGGGGCAUACGGGUGGGGAUUCACGCAUGCACACGAUUCGAAGAAAAGAUAUGAAACCCUUUAUAACGACUAUGAAGCCGGGCGUAGACACGAUGCCAAUCAGUCUGAGUCAGAUUCAAAUGUCCGACAGGCUUAUGAAGCCAGGAAAUUUGUGGGCAUCGAAGUUUUAAGAAACAUUCAAAUCAAUUUGGUCCAAGAAAAAGAACUAAAGCCUGCGAUUCCUCUUGGAGACGAUACCAACAUAAUAAUCGGAGUGGACGCCACACCGCACAAUAUUGGAGGCUAUUUCAUAAAUCUGGUCGAAAAUAGGGGAGAAUUCUAUUCUUUUCCGGUCGCAAAGUUACCCUGGACCCUAACUUCUCACGUAUUAACUCCAAAACAAAAUCAGGCGCGAAAUCCGGCCGAAUUUGAGAUGAAGAACCUAGUUUUUGCUCUCUACUUGUGGAAGAAUGAGCUACGUCAGAAUGGCUCAACUUCCAAAGUUGUCAUGUUCACGGAUAAUUUCGAUUUUAAUAAAAAGCGAACACUGUAUGGAAUCCGAGCACACAGAUUUGUUCGGCAUUUACAAAAUUGUGAAGGAAUACAGAUCCAAGUCAGAGUAAGGGGCACGAAAGAGCAAGAUAUUGAAGAUCACGCGAAAUUUGUUAAACCUGCGGACGAUUUCUCACGAAAGCGGUUUAAAGAGGGGCGGGAUUUUUUGAUUGAGUACUUUGGCUUGACCAGUGAAAACUUUACGGGAUCUCAUGACCCUCCGCGUUAUGGGAGAUAUUUUAAGAAAUCUACAAAAGCAAGGGAACAAUUGCAACGGAAAAUCCCAGCGCAAGAAUGAAAAACUUGAUCUGGAAAUUUAACAUUAUCGACUUGAACUUUUUGGCUGCCAUGUGGGUCCCUUUCAUCUACAACGUGUCCGUAACGCUCAUGUUCAUCAUGAUCCCCACGCGAGUUCAUUACCUGUACUCGCUUGUUUCACAAGAAAACAACAGAACCAGCUGUCUUUUCCAGCUUUUUCUAAUGUUCGAGGCUUAUUCUAAAGCUGCUCAAAGUUGUAUGAUGGGAACGGAUGGAUUUACAGUAUUUCCGACUCUUCUGAGUUCCGGGUUCUGGCUUGACUUCACAAGGAAACAAAAGAUUUCCGCGGCCAAAAAAAUUCGAAACUUUCAACGUUUCCACAUUUUAAUGAUUUACUACAACUAUGCCUUCACUUGGCUGCUCAUGCCUGUCGUGUUCGUCUGGAUUCCUGGGUCUUUAAUAAUUGCAUGUGGAUUUGCGUCCAUUCGAUUCCACAGUUUCCUCUCGUUCUUCGAGUACAUCCCGUUUCCGGUUUUGGUCUAUAACUGCUGCGUCAUACUGGCCGUGACGAUGCAUCCUGCCACAAUAGUUUAUGAGGAGUCAAAUAAGCUUUACCAGACGCUGCUUCACGAUAACAACAUGUCUCGAAGGAAGAGCAGGUUGCGUCGAAAAGAGUUGGCGGCUUUGAGACCGUUCGGUGUGAAAAUAGGGUUUAUCCAGCGAGUGAAAAAGGUGGCCAUCCUGGUGAGCUAUUACUUCGUUUCGAACCACAUCUUUACAAUGCUCAUCACUUUUCCGGAGGAUCAAAUCAACCACUAGUCGUCGGAACUUCAAUGGUGUCCAGCAAUGAAACUAAUCUCAAUAAGAUAAUUUGAAGAAGAAUGACAAGGAUAGUUUCCGGCGGGAAAAACAAAACCCUGUCAAAUAGUCUUCGAAUCAUCACACGCAUCAUACCUCUGGUUGCUGUGGGCCUUCCCACCACCUUUUCGAUUACACUAAAAAGUUGUUACUUCAUAAUCCUACAUUUUCACUCACAUGGAGCAGUUUUAUAACCAUAAGUUGACACAUUCCAUCACUUCUCAUUAACCACCAGAAUUUUUAGAGAACUUCAAUAUUAACCAAUUUAAAGAUAAAAUUCUGAACUGCUUUUAUUAAAUAUUGAAAUAUAUGGAAAGGUCAACAUGCGACAAAUGUAUGUAUCUAGAUAGACUUUGAAAAUAAUUUAAGUGAUGAAAGAUAAAAAUUUUAUUCCAACAGUAGUAAAACGUCAUUUUUUACAGGAAGCAUAAUCCUAGUUAUGUAUAUUUCUUUGAUUAAUUAAAGAUAUUUGAACGAGAAAUGAGAACAAUUUCCAUGCCUUAUUUCAAGAUACACAUGUGACUUAUUUCUCAAGUCGAAAUAAAUAAAAUGAGA
Folsomia candida is the source of this 2801-nucleotide RNA transcript. RefSeq lists it as uncharacterized. The transcript has 9 exons. The record is from RefSeq and is a predicted model, not a curated record. NCBI's taxonomy places the organism in Eukaryota, Metazoa, Arthropoda, Collembola, Entomobryomorpha, Isotomidae.